RNAcentral lists this transfer RNA (85 nucleotides) under Gammaproteobacteria bacterium. Its description in RNAcentral is "tRNA-Leu". It matches the Rfam family "tRNA". From Rfam's summary of the family: Transfer RNA (tRNA) molecules are approximately 80 nucleotides in length. Their secondary structure includes four short double-helical elements and three loops (D, anti-codon, and T loops). Lineage: Bacteria; Pseudomonadati; Pseudomonadota; Gammaproteobacteria. The record is from RNAcentral.
GGCAGUGUGGUGGAAUUGGUAGACACACAGCACUCAAAAUGCUGCGCCUUCGGGCAUCCCGGUUCGACUCCGGGCACUGCUACCA